Molecule: ribosomal RNA, 253 nt
Filed under: uncultured bacterium
Lineage: Bacteria
Description: partial 16S ribosomal RNA
Rfam family: Bacterial small subunit ribosomal RNA
Source: RNAcentral
UACGUAGGGGGCAAGCGUUGUCCGGAUUUAUUGGGCGUAAAGAGCGUGUAGGCGGCCAGGUAGGUCUGCUGUGAAAACUCGAGGCUCAACCUCGAGACGUCGGCGGAAACCAUCUGGCUAGAGUCCGGAAGAGGAGAGUGGAAUUCCGGGUGUAGCGGUGAAAUGCGCAGAUAUCAGGAAGAACACCCGUGGCGAAGGCGGCUCUCUGGGACGGUACUGACGCUGAGACGCGAAAGCGUGGGGAGCAAACAGG